This 467-nucleotide ribosomal RNA is filed under the name uncultured bacterium. RNAcentral describes it as "partial 16S ribosomal RNA". It matches the Rfam family "Bacterial small subunit ribosomal RNA", at positions 28 to 506 of the family's 1533-position model. The record is from RNAcentral.
GACGAACGCUGGCGGCGUGCUUAACACAUGCAAGUCGAACGGAAAGGCCCUGCUUUUGUGGGGUGCUCGAGUGGCGAACGGGUGAGUAACACGUGAGUAACCUGCCCUUGACUUUGGGAUAACUUCAGGAAACUGGGGCUAAUACCGGAUAGGAGCUCCUGCUGCAUGGUGGGGGUUGGAAAGUUUCGGCGGUUGGGGAUGGACUCGCGGCUUAUCAGCUUGUUGGUGGGGUAGUGGCUUACCAAGGCUUUGACGGGUAGCCGGCCUGGGAGGGUGACCGGCCACAUUGGGACUGGGAUGCGGCCCAGACUCCUACGGGAGGCAGCAGUGGGGAAUAUUGCACAAUGGGCGGAAGCCUGAUGCAACAACGCCGCGUGCGGAAUAACGGCCUUCGGGUUAAAAACCGCUUUCACCUGUGACGAAGCGUGGGUGACGGAAAUGGGUAAAGAAGCACCGGCUGACUACGU